This is a long non-coding RNA of Rattus norvegicus (Norway rat), 621 nucleotides long. RefSeq lists it as uncharacterized. Lineage: Eukaryota; Metazoa; Chordata; Mammalia; Rodentia; Muridae. The record is from RefSeq and is a predicted model, not a curated record.
GCUUCACGGGCUGUGGGUUUCUAAGGUUCAACUGCCUCAAUCACUUUUAACUUCGGACUUCAAGUCCCACAAGGCAGGAAAGCUGGCAUACUGGAACGCAGUUUAUAAACUAAACAGAAACAGAUUGCGCGGAUUUGAUAGGAUUACACAGACAAGGAUGACGCUGUAACUACCAUAAUAAUCGUAACUUAUAACUGACCACUUUCACUCAUUAUCAGGUUAUCUUGGUUCAGAGGUUCUGUCCAUUACCACCAAGGCGGGAGCAGAGCUGAGAGUUCUUCAUCCUCAUCUGAAGGCUGCUAGGAGACUGGCUUCCAGGGAGCUAGGGCUAUAUUCAGCCACCGUGGGCUACCUAUAGGACUGUGAGUUCCUUGAAAGCAAGGGUUGUUUUAAUCAAGUGUGAAAAUACAAGGCAAAGCACAGCUACUGUGUGUGGGCAGCUAUUAUGUUGCAACCUGCCAGUUGCUAGGAUCUGAGACUACCAGCAUGUUUGUCCAGACAGAGUCUUGCUGGUCUUGAGUUCACUGCAUGGCCUCAUCUUCCUGAGAGCAGGGAUUCUGGCUCCUAGUCUUGGGUUCCGCUUCUCAAAUGCAGAUCAAAUAAAAACAGCUGUUGGCAAAA